This is a long non-coding RNA of Dermochelys coriacea (leatherback sea turtle), 1672 nucleotides long. RefSeq lists it as uncharacterized. The transcript is spliced from 2 exons. Lineage: Eukaryota; Metazoa; Chordata; Testudines; Dermochelyidae. The record is from RefSeq and is a predicted model, not a curated record.
AACUUAAAAUUUAAAAAAUAAUUCAAUGCAUGGACUUUACAUGGUAAGAUACGUUAAUAGCAUAAAGUAUUUGUUUGUUUCUUCAUUUCAAACAAUUUUUUCCCUGCUGCUUCACUACGUGAGGCAUCUACUCCGGGUGAGAGAGCUUUUCUGUUACUGUAUUAUGUUCUCUCGAGUGGUGCCGUGUAAAAACUCAUGAGGCAGAUGCUUGACUUAUUAAUCUUUUAACAUAGGAUGUUUAAUGUAGGACUUUUGUGUGUAAUACUUGAAAGAGUUGCCCUUAUAUAUCCAUCUUACCCUCAGCCCAUCUCCUCAGCAGCCUGAGGGUACGGGGGCGGGGAACACAGCAGAGGCUCACUGCAUAUAGUCACUUUUGCACAAUUUAGUAAAUUCAGCAGUUAGAUUACAUUUUCAGAAUAUUACAUGAAAAUAGGUUUCUCAGCUUCUACAAAUCACUCCCUUUACACAACCAAGGACAAUGAAAGCUCCAUUUUUUAAACUGUAGAUCUAUGUAAAAAGGAAAAAUUGGGGCACAUUCACCUUGGCCAGUGGGAGGGAAGGAUGGGUGGAUGAGUGGUGGUUUCAAACUUAGUGUAUGUCUACGCUGGAGCUGGAGGUGUAACUUUAAGCUCAGGUGUAGACAUACCUGCGUUAGCUCUGAUUGAGCCGGCAUGCUAAAAACACAAGCGUAGCUGCAGUGGCACUGUACUUGGAAGGCUGUCUUGCCACUCGUGCCGCCACAGCUACACUUCUGUUUUCAGCAUGCUAGCACUGAGCUAUGUCUACCCGAGUUGGAGAUUGCAUCUCCAGCUCCAGUAUGGACACAGCCUUAGUGUGUCUGUCCCGAUCCCCCAACCCAAAGUGUCUUCUCUAUUUUGAUUUUCUUCUCCCAUUAACAAAAUAGGAAUACUUGAGUUACCCUCAAACUAGGUGUGCGACCCAGAGCUUAUUCCCGUGGACCCCAAGAGAUUCAGACCGAGCAUGUCUUCAGAAAUGUCUGCAAUGCUUUCAGGCUUGUAAAAUGUGAACAUGACUAACUAAAAACGUAAUCCUAUUGAUCUGCUGUUCAAAGUUCUGCUCGCUACAGUGAAGAUUUUGUCUUGCUGCUAAUUAACGCUGUGUAAAAGCUUUUAAAAAUUGCUUUAAAAUGAAAAACUACCAUUUAAAAUCAAGUUUCCUUGGGCGCCAUUGAUUCUGAAGUGCCUUUGAUUUGCACCAAGAUCUAGUUUCAAUCUAAAUUUCUUUGUGUUUAGCCCUGACUUUGCGAGAGACAUCUUAGAUGCUGGGAAGCCUGCUUUUUACUGUUUUACAAUUUUUAGAAAUGGCAGUAUUGCUUACCACCUGUGUAGGCAGGGACUCAAAUCUUCACAUCCACAUCAUACACAUUCUUAGCUUACAGGACAUUUCAACAAAGCACCUGCCUAAUACCUUUUGUAGGGUAAAUGAGAAUUCUGGUGCUGAGGCUUAUUUUGUCCUUCAUCUGUAAGCCAAGGCCAAUGAUCAUAAGCCUUUAACAAUACAUGGUGUCCCAAGUCGUGUCUAAGCUAAUGAGAUGUGCAGCAUCCUACAACUGUUAACUUAGAACUGUCUCCAGCCUCACAGGAAAGAUGCGUGUCAUUCUGGUAGUGCUGAUUACUAACUUGUUCAUCAGGCAGUGAAUGUGAUAUUGGAA